This is a non-coding RNA of Cinara cedri, 413 nucleotides long. The record is from the annotation of a GenBank genome assembly. Lineage: Eukaryota; Metazoa; Arthropoda; Insecta; Hemiptera; Aphididae.
UAUGCGGCAACCAUCACUAAACGUACCUAUAUAUUAAAACUAAGGAUUAUUCCAAAUAUCUUUCGCACGCCCAUGCGUGACGCGUGGACCGAAUAUUUUUCUACUCGGUCCUCGGUAAAUAGAUUCAAAGAUUUCCCUUCCAUAAUAUUUUUAUGGAAAUAAAAAAGUUGACUUACGUCUGUUAACGGUAGUGGCUUGGGAUUAGCUGAGAAAAAAAAUCGAGUUUUUACACGAAUAAGGCGAAAGCACCGAGUAUGUUACAAAAGGAGAAAAAACCAUUUUCGUCUCGACGGCCGCAAGUGCAACACGCCGAGGGGACGUAAUAAAAUAUGUGGAACAGCUUAUUUCGUGGAAAAUAAUAUAUAAAACAUGUCUUACACAUGUACGAUUUUUAUUCCGUUUCGUCUUGUUUA